Diceros bicornis minor is the source of this 2322-nucleotide long non-coding RNA. RefSeq lists it as uncharacterized. NCBI's taxonomy places the organism in Eukaryota, Metazoa, Chordata, Mammalia, Perissodactyla, Rhinocerotidae. The transcript is spliced from 3 exons. The record is from RefSeq and is a predicted model, not a curated record.
GCCUCACGAAGAGGCCCUGUGAUGCUCAGGGCUUCUCUGUGACACUGAGAUGACCAGCGUCAGCCCGGAGUCCACGGAUGUUAUGAGGGGUCUGUGACCCGUGAAUCAAGUCGGAGGCCCAUUUGUUGCCCAGGAGCUCCUAAAAUUCCUGGGAAUUUCCUGAGUGAUGUGAGAAGAUCGCCUGUUGUUAUUCCUAACAAGACCAUUUCAGCCUGAUGGGAGUUUAUACUAACAGGAGGGGAGGAGCCUGAGACUGACUGAGUCCUGCUUCCCCAUGUCCUAUGGCACUGCUUGAAGGAACUGCCCAGAUGCCCAGCAGUGUCUUCUGUUUAACAGCACUGGACCUCAUGUUGAUAUCUGCCUGCCACAUCAUCCGUCUGGGCUGGACGCUGUGUGAGCCGACACCUGCCCUCAGCACUCACCAAGCUCAGAGCCUGGGACAGAAGCAGCUGGACAAGAUGGAGCAUGGCCAUUGCUGCAGUGAGAUUGUGUUUGAAUGCAUGUGCAUGCACUUGAGCUGUGUGAGCACACAUUUUCUGGAAAGUCAUGGAUGUAUGGGGACCCCCAGGGGAUGCUGAACAGUAGAGCCUGUCAGUGUCCCAUACCCAGGCCGAGCUCAGUGGUGACUCCCAGAGUUGUAUCUCCUGAGGCUGAUAUCGAACCUCUUAAUCUCAAAUUCGUGUGUGCAAUGCACAAUAAGCCAAUCACUGAGACACUGGUGCUUGGAGAUAGAGAAAGUUUUAUUAUUUGAAUUGACCAAAACAAGAAGGUAGAAAGAUAGGUUCUCUCAACUCCACCUUAACUAAAGAAGAAAGCAGGGGGCUUUAUAGAGCUAAGGGGCUUGGGAGGAGGAGUUUCAGAGAAACAAAGGGGAGAUCUGUGUUUCUUUCACUCCAGAUAAGCCCUUGGGCAAUUUGGUGUCAAAGGCAGCUGAGGGCUGGUGUUCUGGCGGUCAUAACUUCCUUGAAGGCAUUCUUUUUCUUCAGCAAAACAAGCUCAUAAAUCCUUGUGACCCUUAAGUCACCCCUCAGGUUAAACAAGAAAACAGCAAAGUAACAAGAUGAACUUCUUUUCCUCUGUGUCUGUGUUGGGAACAAGGUCAAAGAGUAAUCAUGUGCCUAUUGAAUAUUUACAGUGACCCUCAGGAACUCAGCUUCAAGGCUGGAUUACUGUUGGGGCUGGAAAUGCCCUCUCCUGAGGCUGCAUUCAGCUCCAGGUGGCCCUCUGGAGGGGUUUGUCCCCCACUGGUGGGAAGUUCCGUGGCUCAGGCCACCUUUCCAAAUGAGUGUUUAUUCACAAGAUAAAAUCUCCAGCACCCAGAGAUCUCCGCCCUUCUGCCGCACAGCAACAGCACGCCUCCCUCCGGCCUUGGCCUCAGGCCUCAGCCCAAGGCCUGGAUGCACUUCCUCCGAGGGAGAACCAUGUCCCCCGCUGCACUGCCACCUCUGUUACCAAGCACUGGGCUCGCUCUGCUCGCUGCGACCAGAGCCAGUUAAUCACAAUGAGCUAGGGAUGGAGAAACGAAGUUUUAAUUCAAUUAGCUGGCAUAACCAGGAAGAUGGUAGACUAAUGUCUCAAAAAAACAUCUUCAAGGACACAUUGAUUCUCCCUCUGGUGGCCAGGGCAAUUUAUAAUAGCUACCUGAGCAAGCUCGGUAACAGUACUAAGCAGUUUUAAAACUUUAGGGCCAUGUGUGACCUUCUUUUUUCCUGCUGUUAAGAGUCUUCUUUCCUUCCAGAUUGUCCCGUGAGCAUGAACUAUAACAAAGGCAUAACAGAAAUAUGUGUAUAUAUUUACUCUUUUCCCUUGAGUUAGAUGUAGAGCCCAAGUGAGGGCGAUGAUUUCUGCCUUUUGAGCUGAUGUCCCUGUGGGUAGCGCUUUAGCCUCUAAAGUCUCUUGUAAAGUUAUGACCACGUAUCCCACGCGUCUCUUAUCUUGAUCCAUGAAGCUAUUGCCAUCUGUGAAGAGUUCCAAGUCCGGUGUUUCCAGUGGACAGUCCAACAAAUCAGGUCGGCUAGAAUACACUGUCUCCAUAACUUGUAAGCAGUCAUGUUCUAAGGCUUCUGAUGUCUCAUUAGGGAGCAAGGUGGCUGGGUUUGGGGAGGAUGAUACUUGCAUCCGUACAUUUGGAUUGUCCAAAAGCAUGGUCUGGUAUUUGCCCAUCUGUCCUGAAGUGAGCCAGUAUCCCCCUUUUUGCUUCAAUAAUGUGAGUACUUGAUGUGGCACAUAUACCACGGUGGGUUGGCCCAGGGUGAAUUUUUCAGCUUCCUGCAGGAUGUCACAGGUAGCAGCCACUGCCCUGAGGCAUGCAUGGAUCAGACU